AGUGAACGCUGGCGGUAGGCCUAACACAUGCAAGUCGAACGGCAGCACAGUAAGCGCUUGCUCUUACGGGUGGCGAGUGGCGGACGGGUGAGGAAUACAUCGGAAUCUACUUUUUCGUGGGGGAUAACGUAGGGAAACUUACGCUAAUACCGCAUACGACCUACGGGUGAAAUCAGGGGUUCUUCGGACCUUGCGCGUUUGAUUGAGCCGAUGUCGGAUUAGCUAGUUGGCGGGGUAAAGGCCCACCAAGGCGACGAUCCGUAGCUGGUCUGAGAGGAUGAUCAGACACACUGGAACUGAGACACGGUCCAGACUCCUACGGGAGGCAGCAGUGGGGAAUAUUGGACAAUGGGCGCAAGCCUGAUCGAGCAAGACCGCGUGGGUGAAGAAGGCCUUCGGGUUGUAAAGCCCUUUUGUUGGGAAAGAAAAGCAGCAGGUUAAAACACCGAUGUUCUGACGGUACCCAAAGAAUAAGCACCGGCUAACUUCGUG
Molecule: ribosomal RNA, 492 nt
Filed under: uncultured bacterium
Lineage: Bacteria
Description: partial 16S ribosomal RNA
Rfam family: Bacterial small subunit ribosomal RNA
Source: RNAcentral